AUGCCGUUCUUGAGGAAAUGCUCCGGAUGGAGGUUUCAUUUGGGGAGUUUGCUUCUGUGCCUACAGACUGGAGGUGCUGGGCCCCUCACCAAGCCUGUGUGGCUGAGCCAGCAGGUCCUCGUCCUCUACCUCAGAGUUUUCUUCAGCUGUCCUAUUGGUGAGGCAUUUUGUCUUUUAGAAAUUUUGUGUCCAGCUAUCACCCUUAACCUUGUAAAAAGCUUGACCAAGACGUCAUGUUACAGCCGUGAGUUCGCACCUUGCCCUUCUUGCUUGGUUUUGCCCUCAGUGAUCUUGGGUUAGCAUAAGCAGAUUCCCCUCUGUUCUGGUACUGGUUGCCUAGUGUCCCUGUGUAUGCACAGACCUGAUUUUUGUUACCUGCUCCCUAUUGCUGAAUAUUUUUUGUUUGCAAAUUUGUGUCAUUUAUUUUAAAAAAAAUGAACUUUUUGUACAUAGAUUGUUGAACUUUUGCAAAUAUAGCAAUAGGGGAAAUGUCUUGAAAUUGCUUGAAAUAUCUUGAAAUUGCUGCCAUACUAGGUUUAAAUGUCAAGUAUUGCCAAAUCGCCUCCUCAAAGGUUGCAUCAGUUUAUGUCCCUCUGUACCACCCGUCCUUGCCCUGAGUAUUAUCAGACUUUACUGAUUGUCAUCUUGGUCCCUGAAACAUCUCUCCUAGUUUCACCUGCACUUUCUAAGUUAGGAGAGUGCAGACACCAUUUUUGUGUUCAUUGGCCGUUGCGCUUUCACUUUGGACAUCUGUCAGUUGAGGUGCUUUGCCCAUUUUUUUAAUUGGGUGGUUUCUUUUCCUUGUUGAUUGGGAUAAGCUUCUUGUAAGUUAAGGACAUGAGCCUUCUGUCUAUCAGAUAUAUUGACUUCGUUCUUAAUUUUUUUUUUCACACUAAAGUUUUAAAAUCCACAGAAGUUUUAAACCUUAAUAUAGCAAAUUUAUCAGUCCUAGAUCACUUCUGGUUUGUGUUUUGCUUAGAAAGCCUCCUUUUGAAGAUUAUAUAUUUCCCUCUAGGACUUCCAUGGUUUACUUUGUUCUGUUUAAACUAGGAACUGGAAUUCAAGCCCCUUUCAUCCCAGGCCUCAGAUGUCUUGCGUAUUUUAUUUUCCUUUGUAUAACUUAAAAACACAGUACUUUUCCCAAAUUAAAUAAUAACUGAUGGCAGCAAAUAAUGGAAGCAUUUCUGCAACUUGUGAUGAACCUCAUUUCUUGGGAUUAAGCAUUUACAAAUUGCAAACUGUUGCUUUUAUUUUCCUGGUUAAUUAAAAUCUAAAUACCACUCAAAGUUCCAUUAAUAUC
This 1300-nucleotide long non-coding RNA is filed under the name Marmota marmota marmota (Alpine marmot). Its description in RNAcentral is "lncRNA (ENSMMMG00000007251.1)". Lineage: Eukaryota; Metazoa; Chordata; Mammalia; Rodentia; Sciuridae. The record is from RNAcentral.